AUGGACCACGCGUCCACCGCGAUUCUGAGCGCGCCGUCCGCGCCCACCUGACAGCUGCUCGCUACCUUGUGUUAGCA
RNAcentral lists this small RNA (77 nucleotides) under Xanthomonas oryzae. RNAcentral describes it as "sX9". It matches the Rfam family "Xanthomonas sRNA sX9". Lineage: Bacteria; Pseudomonadati; Pseudomonadota; Gammaproteobacteria; Lysobacterales; Lysobacteraceae. The record is from RNAcentral.